UUUGCUCUCUGUACAACACAAAUACACCGAUAAACAUCCAAGUUCAACAAAAAGUGAUUGAUCGCCCAAAAGAAUACAAGACACAGUCAAAUCCAACACAUGGAUUUGGAAGCCAAGGUCCAGUCUAAGCUACCUAACAGGCCAUAACUGAUUUUCUUUUCUUCUUGAUAUAAACUUCUAAGUUGGCGGGCAGUCACUUCAUUCUUCAAUUUGGGAAAUAUUAAUGGUAGUAUGCAAAAGUUGUUAAAGAAAGUGUGCGACAUGGCAUUGCAUGUCUAAUUAAGGAUAAUUGCCUAAGGUCAAGAGCUUGCUACAUUGUCUUGCAUAUUUUUAUGGUAUCUUUACACAAAUAGCCGGUAAUAUUCAUUAUUUAUUUUUU
RNAcentral lists this long non-coding RNA (379 nucleotides) under Nicotiana benthamiana. RNAcentral describes it as "long non-coding RNA (NBEN_LNC039137)". Lineage: Eukaryota; Viridiplantae; Streptophyta; Magnoliopsida; Solanales; Solanaceae. The record is from RNAcentral.